AUUGAACGCUGGCGGCAUGCUUUACACAUGCAAGUCGAACGGCAGCGGGGGCUUCGGCCUGCCGGCGAGUGGCGAACGGGUGAGUAAUGCAUCGGAACGUGCCCAUGUCGUGGGGGAUAACGUAGCGAAAGCUACGCUAAUACCGCAUACGCCCUGAGGGGGAAAGCGGGGGAUUCUUCGGAACCUCGCGCGAUUGGAGCGGCCGAUGUCGGAUUAGCUAGUAGGUGGGGUAAAGGCCCACCUAGGCGACGAUCCGUAGCGGGUCUGAGAGGAUGAUCCGCCACACUGGGACUGAGACACGGCCCAGACUCCUACGGGAGGCAGCAGUGGGGAAUUUUGGACAAUGGGCGCAAGCCUGAUCCAGCCAUGCCGCGUGAGUGAAGAAGGCCCUCGGGUUGUAAAGCUCUUUUGUCCGGAAAGAAAAGCACUGGGUUAAUACCCCGGUGUCCUGACGGUACCGGAAGAAUAAGCACCGGCUAACUUCGUGCCAGCAGCCGCGGUAAUGUCGUCA
Molecule: ribosomal RNA, 511 nt
Filed under: uncultured bacterium
Lineage: Bacteria
Description: bacterial SSU rRNA
Rfam family: Bacterial small subunit ribosomal RNA
Source: RNAcentral